GGUUAAGCGACUAAGCGUACACGGUGGAUGCCCUGGCAGUCAGAGGCGAUGAAGGACGUGCUAAUCUGCGAAAAGCGUCGGUAAGGUGAUAUGAACCGUUAUAACCGGCGAUGUCCGAAUGGGGAAACCCAGUGCAAUUCGUUGCACUAUCGUUAACUGAAUACAUAGGUUAACGAGGCGAACCGGGGGAACUGAAACAUCUAAGUACCCCGAGGAAAAGAAAUCAACCGAGAUUCCCCCAGUAGCGGCGAGCGAACGGGGAGCAGCCCAGAGUCUGAAUCAGCUUGUGUGUUAGUGGAACGGUCUGGAAAGUCCGACGGUACAGGGUGAUAGUCCCGUACACCAAAAUGCACAGGCUGUGAACUCGAAGAGUAGGGCGGGACACGUGGUAUCCUGUCUGAAUAUGGGGGGACCAUCCUCCAAGGCUAAAUACUCCUGACUGACCGAUAGUGAACCAGUACCGUGAGGGAAAGGCGAAAAGAACCCCGGCGAGGGGAGUGAAAAAGAACCUGAAACCGUGUACGUACAAGCAGUGGGAGCACCUUCGGGUGUGACUGCGUACCUUUUGUAUAAUGGGUCAGCGACUUAUAUUCUGUAGCAAGGUUAACCGUAUAGGGGAGCCGCAGGGAAACCGAGUCUUAACUGGGCGUUAAGUUGCAGGGUAUAGACCCGAAACCCGGUGAUCUAGCCAUGGGCAGGUUGAAGGUUGGGUAACACUAACUGGAGGACCGAACCGACUAAUGUUGAAAAAUUAGCGGAUGACUUGUGGCUGGGGGUGAAAGGCCAAUCAAACCGGGAGAUAGCUGGUUCUCCCCGAAAGCUAUUUAGGUAGCGCCUCGUGAACUCAUCUUCGGGGGUAGAGCACUGUUUCGGCUAGGGGGUCAUCCCGACUUACCAACCCGAUGCAAACUACGAAUACCGAAGAAUGUUAUCACGGGAGACACACGGCGGGUGCUAACGUCCGUCGUGAAGAGGGAAACAACCCAGACCGCCAGCUAAGGUCCCAAAGUCAUGGUUAAGUGGGAAACGAUGUGGGAAGGCACAGACAGCCAGGAUGUUGGCUUAGAAGCAGCCAUCAUUUAAAGAAAGCGUAAUAGCUCACUGGUCGAGUCGGCCUGCGCGGAAGAUGUAACGGGGCUAAACCAUGCACCGAAGCUGCGGCAGCGACACUAUGUGUUGUUGGGUAGGGGAGCGUUCUGUAAGCCUGCGAAGGUGUGCUGUGAGGCAUGCUGGAGGUAUCAGAAGUGCGAAUGCUGACAUAAGUAACGAUAAAGCGGGUGAAAAGCCCGCUCGCCGGAAGACCAAGGGUUCCUGUCCAACGUUAAUCGGGGCAGGGUGAGUCGACCCCUAAGGCGAGGCCGAAAGGCGUAGUCGAUGGGAAACAGGUUAAUAUUCCUGUACUUGGUGUUACUGCGAAGGGGGGACGGAGAAGGCUAUGUUAGCCGGGCGACGGUUGUCCCGGUUUAAGCAUGUAGGCUGGUUGUCCAGGCAAAUCCGGAUAAUCAAGGCUGAGGUGUGAUGACGAGGCACUACGGUGCUGAAGUAACAAAUGCCCUGCUUCCAGGAAAAGCCUCUAAGCAUCAGGUAACAUUAAAUCGUACCCCAAACCGACACAGGUGGUCAGGUAGAGAAUACCAAGGCGCUUGAGAGAACUCGGGUGAAGGAACUAGGCAAAAUGGUGCCGUAACUUCGGGAGAAGGCACGCUGGUGUGUAGGUGAAGCCCCUGCGGGUGGAGCUGAGACCAGUCGAAGAUACCAGCUGGCUGCAACUGUUUAUUAAAAACACAGCACUGUGCAAACACGAAAGUGGACGUAUACGGUGUGACGCCUGCCCGGUGCCGGAAGGUUAAUUGAUGGGGUUAUCCGUAAGGAGAAGCUCUUGAUCGAAGCCCCGGUAAACGGCGGCCGUAACUAUAACGGUCCUAAGGUAGCGAAAUUCCUUGUCGGGUAAGUUCCGACCUGCACGAAUGGCGUAAUGAUGGCCAGGCUGUCUCCACCCGAGACUCAGUGAAAUUGAACUCGCUGUGAAGAUGCAGUGUACCCGCGGCAAGACGGAAAGACCCCGUGAACCUUUACUAUAGCUUGACACUGAACAUUGAGCCUUGAUGUGUAGGAUAGGUGGGAGGCUUUGAAGCGUGGACGCCAGUCUGCGUGGAGCCAACCUUGAAAUACCACCCUUUAAUGUUUGAUGUUCUAACGUUGGCCCCUGACCGGGGUUGCGGACAGUGUCUGGUGGGUAGUUUGACUGGGGCGGUCUCCUCCCAAAGCGUAACGGAGGAGCACGAAGGUUAGCUAAUCCUGGUCGGACAUCAGGAGGUUAGUGCAAUGGCAUAAGCUAGCUUGACUGCGAGCGUGACGGCGCGAGCAGGUGCGAAAGCAGGUCAUAGUGAUCCGGUGGUUCUGAAUGGAAGGGCCAUCGCUCAACGGAUAAAAGGUACUCCGGGGAUAACAGGCUGAUACCGCCCAAGAGUUCAUAUCGACGGCGGUGUUUGGCACCUCGAUGUCGGCUCAUCACAUCCUGGGGCUGAAGUAGGUCCCAAGGGUAUGGCUGUUCGCCAUUUAAAGUGGUACGCGAGCUGGGUUUAGAACGUCGUGAGACAGUUCGGUCCCUAUCUGCCGUGGGCGCUGGAGAAUUGAGGGGGGCUGCUCCUAGUACGAGAGGACCGGAGUGGACGCAUCACUGGUGUUCGGGUUGUCAUGCCAAUGGCACUGCCCGGUAGCUAAAUGCGGAAGAGAUAAGUGCUGAAAGCAUCUAAGCACGAAACUUGCCCCGAGAUGAGUUCUCCCUGAGACUUUAAGUCUCCUGAAGGAACGUUGAAGACGACGACGUUGAUAGGCCGGGUGUGUAAGCGCAGCGAUGCGUUGAGCUAACCGGUACUAAUGAACCGUGAGGCUUAACCUU
This 2902-nucleotide ribosomal RNA is filed under the name Klebsiella pneumoniae. RNAcentral's name for it is "23S ribosomal RNA". It matches the Rfam family "Bacterial large subunit ribosomal RNA". The record is from RNAcentral. Lineage: Bacteria; Pseudomonadati; Pseudomonadota; Gammaproteobacteria; Enterobacterales; Enterobacteriaceae.